This 228-nucleotide ribosomal RNA is filed under the name uncultured bacterium. RNAcentral describes it as "partial 16S ribosomal RNA". It matches the Rfam family "Bacterial small subunit ribosomal RNA", at positions 15 to 236 of the family's 1533-position model. The record is from RNAcentral.
GAUCCUGGCUCAGGAUGAACGCUAGCUACGGGCUUAACACAUGCAAGUCGAGGGGCAGCAUGUUGGUUGCUUGCAACCAAUGAUGGCGACCGGCGCACGGGUGAGUAGCGCGUAUCCAACCUACCCUUGUCCAUCGGAUAACCCGUCGAAAGGCGGCCUAACACGAUGUGCGGUUCACAGCAGGCAUCUAACGUGAACGAAAUGUGAAGGAGAAGGAUGGGGAUGCGU